Molecule: ribosomal RNA, 492 nt
Filed under: uncultured bacterium
Lineage: Bacteria
Description: partial 16S ribosomal RNA
Rfam family: Bacterial small subunit ribosomal RNA
Source: RNAcentral
AGUGAACGCUGGCGGUAGGCCUAACACAUGCAAGUCGAACGGCAGCACAGUAAGAGCUUGCUCUUACGGGUGGCGAGUGGCGGACGGGUGAGGAAUACAUCGGAAUCUACUUUUUCGUGGGGGAUAACGUAGGGAAACUUACGCUAAUACCGCAUACGACCUACGGUUGAAAGAAGGGAAUCUUCGGACCUUGCGCGAUUGAAUGAGCCGAUGUCGGAUUAGCUAGUUGGCGGGGUAAAGGCCCACAAAGGCGACGAUCCGUAGCUGGUCUGAGAGGAUGAUCAGCCACACUGGAACUGAGACACGGUCCAGACUCCUACGGGAGGCAGCAGUGGGGAAUAUUGGACAAUGGGCGCAAGCCUGAUCCAGCCAUACCGCGUGGGUGAAGAAGGCCUUCGGGUUGUAAAGCCCUUUUGUUGGGAAAGAAAAGCAGCAGGUUAAUACCCCGCUGUUCUGACGGUACCCAAAGAAUAAGCACCGGCUAACUUCGUG